Molecule: ribosomal RNA, 470 nt
Filed under: Veillonella parvula
Lineage: Bacteria; Bacillati; Bacillota; Negativicutes; Veillonellales; Veillonellaceae
Description: bacterial SSU rRNA
Rfam family: Bacterial small subunit ribosomal RNA
Source: RNAcentral
GACGAACGCUGGCGGCGUGUUUAACACAUGCAAGUCGAACGAAGAGCGAUGGAAGCUUGCUUCUAUCAAUCUUAGUGGCGAACGGGUGAGUAACGCGUAAUCAACCUGCCCUUCAGAGGGGGACAACAGUUGGAAACGACUGCUAAUACCGCAUACGAUCUAAUCUCGGCAUCGAGGAUAGAUGAAAGGUGGCCUCUACAUGUAAGCUAUCACUGAAGGAGGGGAUUGCGUCUGAUUAGCUAGUUGGAGGGGUAACGGCCCACCAAGGCGAUGAUCAGUAGCCGGUCUGAGAGGAUGAACGGCCACAUUGGGACUGAGACACGGCCCAGACUCCUACGGGAGGCAGCAGUGGGGAAUCUUCCGCAAUGGACGAAAGUCUGACGGAGCAACGCCGCGUGAGUGAUGACGGCCUUCGGGUUGUAAAGCUCUGUUAAUCGGGACGAAAGGCCUUCUUGCGAAUAGUGAGAAGG